This 977-nucleotide long non-coding RNA is filed under the name Anolis carolinensis (green anole). RNAcentral describes it as "lncRNA (ENSACAG00000035541.1)". Lineage: Eukaryota; Metazoa; Chordata; Lepidosauria; Squamata; Anolidae. The record is from RNAcentral.
AUAUUACAGAUUACCCCGUGUGCCAAGUUUGUACCUGAUCAUAUUAUUCUGCGGCGUGCGUGUUUGUAAGCAAAACAGGAAACUGGGAGAGAGGGAGCUGGCAUGACGCUGUGGCAUGGAUAUUCUUUAAGGCUUUAUUAGAGGCAUUAACCUCGGCUCUUGACAUGUAACCUGUUAAUUGUAAAGAGGUUUCGGAAAGGUGCCGAGUCAAAAGUAUGGAUUUCUUAGAACAAACAUUGCUUUUUCUCUCUUUCUUUCUUCAGUGUAACAUACUGCACAUGCCUCGGCUCCAAACAACAACAGCUCUUAUCGGAGUGCCGAGGAUUUUCGAUGCAGAAAGAAUGGAUGUCAAGAAAUAGUAUUUAAGUCAGCAGCCUGUGCUUUCGUCUCAUAUCCUUCUCUGCUGUCUUAAAUAUUGAAUCGCAUCUUGCAAAUUGCUGCCGUGCUAAUUCUAGCUAGUGCACCUUUUGCCAUUCCGAUUGCCUAUCAUUUCCAGGAGUUAUAGCAAUUGUUUUAUGUAUUGUAUUUUUUUCCAUUUGCAAUGCUGAAUGAUGAAUCUUAGCUUCCCUGCUGGGUAGAUAUCCUCAACAGCUAAGAGCCCUUUUCUUGGAUGCAGAGAUUUCUGUAUCCAUGUGGCCAUAGUUUAAUCUCAUCCAAUUAAAAUAAGAGCCCAAAUGCGAGUGUUGCUUUCCAUAAUACUUCUUGCAGUAUAUAUUACAUAGUGUUCUGUGGAUGAGAUAUGAAAUUCUUCAUGCAGUCCUAUCUGUCAGAAAUUAUAGCUUAUUGUUUGACUUAUUUGGUUUAUGCAUUGCAAUCAAAUUGAUUUGACCAGGACAGAAAACAGACUGAACUGUUAGCUUCCUCUGAUUGUGUUUACAGAAUGAAAUGGAAAUAAAAUGAUUGCAGUAAAACAUUGCAGAAUCUUGUCCUCUAUUCUGGAUUCCAAUCCUGUCUUCCAUUCCAUUCCUCAUCCCCAU